CUCAACCUUACGUGAGGAUAGAGUGCUUAACUCUCCACCCUACCCCACUACCCUCCCUAAACUUAUAAAACACAUCCCGAUUGCAUCAGACAGACACUGACAAUAACAAGGACCUGGGCCCUAGGACCAUGCCUCAGGACUACCUGGCCUGAUGACUCCUUGCUGUCCCCAGUCCACCUGGCCGUGCUGCUGCUCCAGUUUCAAUUGAUCUGCCUGUGGCUAUGGAACCCUGACCUGUUCACCGGACUUGAUACCUUGUCCCGAACCUGCUGUUUUCGACUCUCUCUCUCUACCCCACCUGCUGUCUCUAACUCUGAAUGCUCGGCUAUGAAAAGCCAACUGACAUUUACUCCUGAGGUGCUGACCUGUUGCACCCUCUACAACCACUGUGAUUAUUAUUAUUAUUUAAACCUGCUUGUCAUCUAUGAACAUUUGAACAUCUUGGCCAUGUACUGUUAUAAUCUCCACCCGGAACAGCCAGAAGAGGACUGGCCACCCCUCACAGCCUGGUUCCUCUCUACGUUUCUUCCUAGGUUCCAGCUUUUCUAGGGAGUUUUUCCUAGCCAUCAUGCUUCUACAUUUGCAUUGCUGGCUGUUUGGGGUUUUAGGCUGGGAUUUUGUAUAGCACUUUGUGACAUCGGCUGAAAAAGGGCAUUAUAAAUAAAUGUGACUGAUUGAUUGAUCGAUUGAAUUGAGUGUAUUUACAAUUCAUACAGCUGGAGUGGAGAGUAUUUACAAUUCAUACAGCUGGAGUGGAGCGUAUUUACAAUUCAUACAGCUGGAGUGGAGCGUAUUUACGACUCAUACAGCUGGAGUGGAGCGUAUUUACAAUUCAUACAGCUGGAGUGGAGAGUAUUUAAAAUUCAUACAGCUGGAGUGGAGCAUAUUUACAAUUCAUACAGCUGGAGUGGAGCGUAUUUACAAUUCAUAGAGCUGGAGUGGAGUGUAUUUUUGGUUCAAAGCAUAUCUGUGCUCCAGUCUCUCUCUCUCUCUGUGUGUGUGUGUGUGUGUGUGUGUGUGUGUGUGUGUGUGUGUGUGUGUGUGUGUGUGUGUGUGUGUGUG
RNAcentral lists this long non-coding RNA (1062 nucleotides) under Salmo salar (Atlantic salmon). RNAcentral's name for it is "lncRNA (ENSSSAG00000122124.1)". Lineage: Eukaryota; Metazoa; Chordata; Actinopteri; Salmoniformes; Salmonidae. The record is from RNAcentral.